This 205-nucleotide long non-coding RNA is filed under the name Elaeis guineensis (African oil palm). Its description in RNAcentral is "long non-coding RNA (EGUI_LNC054085)". The record is from RNAcentral. Lineage: Eukaryota; Viridiplantae; Streptophyta; Magnoliopsida; Arecales; Arecaceae.
UGAAUGACCAUCAUGACACCUUUUUUGAAUUGGUCAAAGUGUUGGUAACAAAGAACCUUGAAAGAGUUUAGAGGUAAAUAUCUGGAGAGCCUAAAAAAAUAAAGACACGCCUAGAAUAGGCAUGUCAAAAUUACUCAAUACAAUCCUUACAAUUUCUUCUUCUCCCAGCUGAGUUGUAGACUCUAGUGAUUUUUUAUAGAAUCGA